RNAcentral lists this ribosomal RNA (120 nucleotides) under uncultured bacterium. RNAcentral describes it as "partial 16S ribosomal RNA". It matches the Rfam family "Bacterial small subunit ribosomal RNA", at positions 215 to 334 of the family's 1533-position model. The record is from RNAcentral.
GCGCUCCGGGAGGGGCCUGCGGCCCAUCAGCUAGUUGGUAGGGUAAAGGCCUACCAAGGCGAAGACGGGUAGGGGGCCUGAGAGGGUGGUCCCCCACAUGGGAACUGAGACACGGUCCAG